CGUAGGGGGCAAGCGUUGUCCGGAUUUAUUGGGCGUAAAGCGCGUGUAGGCGGCCAGGUGGGUCGGCUGUGAAAACUCGAGGCUCAACCUCGGGACGUCGGCCGAAACCAUCUGGCUAGAGUCCGGAAGAGGAGAGUGGAAUUCCUGGUGUAGCGGUGAAAUGCGCAGAUAUCAGGAAGAACACCCGUGGCGAAGGCGGCUCUCUGGGACGGUACUGACGCUGAGACGCGAAAGCGUGGGGAGCGAACAGGAUUAGAUACCCUGGUAGUCCACGCCGUAAACGAUGGGAACUAGGUGUGGGCGGUGUCGACUCCGUCCGUGCCGAAGCUAACGCAUUAAGUUCCCCGCCUGGGGAGUACGGCCGCAAGGCUA
RNAcentral lists this ribosomal RNA (372 nucleotides) under uncultured organism. Its description in RNAcentral is "bacterial SSU rRNA". It matches the Rfam family "Bacterial small subunit ribosomal RNA", at positions 526 to 896 of the family's 1533-position model. The record is from RNAcentral.